Molecule: long non-coding RNA, 428 nt
Organism: Galleria mellonella (greater wax moth)
Lineage: Eukaryota; Metazoa; Arthropoda; Insecta; Lepidoptera; Pyralidae
Exons: 2
Source: RefSeq, a predicted model, not a curated record
GGGACAUAAGGAUAGAGGUCCUGUGCAGCGUUUGGACGCCCGCGAGGUUCCUCUCCUUCCUGCUGAGAGCCGACACCAUCCCAGCGCACGAGACGGUGGACCAUCACGCGCGCUACGGCGCGGCACGGUACGUGCAGGAAGCCAGCACAGAAAAAGCGGUACAUACCUGUACGACGACGUAGGGCUUGCUGUUAGGCUCGCAUGGGUCGCCGGGCAGGAUCUGCCAGUGGUCGAACACGCACUGGGGGAAGGCCUGGCCGCCGGUGUUGGAGCGCAGGUCGGCGGUGAAGCCGAACGACUCGUUUACGGGCAGGUAUGCCUUCACCACGAACAUGGGCGUGCCCGCCACUUGCGACUCCUCGAAUACGUGACCGCGCCGUCUGUUCAGCACACCAUAGAUACCGCCCACCGCCACCUCGGGACACUGU